GACGAACGCUGGCGGCGUGCCUAAUACAUGCAAGUAGAACGCUGAAGGAGGAGCUUGCUCUUCUGGAUGAGUUGCGAACGGGUGAGUAACGCGUAGGUAACCUGCCUGGUAGCGGGGGAUAACUAUUGGAAACGAUAGCUAAUACCGCAUAACAGUAGAUGUUGCAUGACAUUUGCUUAAAAGGUGCAAUUGCACCACUACCAGAUGGACCUGCGUUGUAUUAGCUAGUUGGUGGGGUAACGGCUCACCAAGGCGACGAUACAUAGCCGACCUGAGAGGGUGAUCGGCCACACUGGGACUGAGACACGGCCCAGACUCCUACGGGAGGCAGCAGUAGGGAAUCUUCGGCAAUGGACGGAAGUCUGACCGAGCAACGCCGCGUGAGUGAAGAAGGUUUUCGGACCGUAAAGCUCUGUUGUAAGAGAAGAACGAGUGUGAGAGUGGAAAGUUCACACUGUGACGGUAUCUUACCAGAAAGGGACGGCUAACUACGUG
This 495-nucleotide ribosomal RNA is filed under the name uncultured bacterium. RNAcentral describes it as "partial 16S ribosomal RNA". It matches the Rfam family "Bacterial small subunit ribosomal RNA", at positions 28 to 507 of the family's 1533-position model. The record is from RNAcentral.